RNAcentral lists this ribosomal RNA (459 nucleotides) under uncultured bacterium. RNAcentral's name for it is "partial 16S ribosomal RNA". It matches the Rfam family "Bacterial small subunit ribosomal RNA", at positions 338 to 795 of the family's 1533-position model. The record is from RNAcentral.
CCUACGGGAGGCUGCAGUGAGGAAUAUUGGUCAAUGGUCGCGAGACUGAACCAGCCAAGCCGCGUGAGGGAGGAAGGUACAGAGUAUCGUAAACCUCUUUUGUCAGGGAGCAAAGGCGUGGACGUGUCCCCGGAUGAGUGUACCUGAACAAAAAGCAUCGGCUAACUCCGGGCCAGCAGCGGCGGUAAUAGGAGGGAUGCGAUGGUUAUCGGGAUUUAUUGGGCUUAAAGGGUGCGAGGGGGGUCGGUUAAGUCAGUGGUCAAAGCCCGGGGCUAAACCGGGGCCCGCCGUUGAAACUGGCAGUCUCGAGUUGGAGAGAAGUAUGCGGAAUGCGCGGUGUAGCGGUGAAAUGCGUAGAUAUCGCGAAGAACUCCGAUUGCGAAGGCAGCAUGCCGGCUCCGCACUGACGCUGAGGCGCGAAAGCGUGGGUAUCGAACAGGAUUAGAUACCCCAGUAGUC